Camelus ferus (Wild Bactrian camel) is the source of this 72-nucleotide transfer RNA. It matches the Rfam family "tRNA". From Rfam's summary of the family: Transfer RNA (tRNA) molecules are approximately 80 nucleotides in length. Their secondary structure includes four short double-helical elements and three loops (D, anti-codon, and T loops). The record is from Rfam. NCBI's taxonomy places the organism in Eukaryota, Metazoa, Chordata, Mammalia, Artiodactyla, Camelidae.
GAGGGGAUAGCUCAGUGGUAGAGUGCCUACCUAACAUGCACAAGGUCCUGGGUUCAAUCCCCAGUACCCCCA